AACGAACGCUGGCGGCGUGCUUAACACAUGCAAGUCGCGCGAGAAAGUGGGGGCAACUCCAUGAGUAAAGCGGCGCACGGGUGAGUAAUACGUAGGUAACCUACCCUUGAGACCGGGAUAACCUUCCGAAAGGAGGGCUAAUACUGGAUAAGACCACGGGGCGUUAGGCUCUGCGGUCAAAGGUGGCCUCUGCACGCAAGCUACCACUCGAAGAUGGGCCUGCGCACCAUUAGCUAGUUGGCGAGGUAACGGCUCACCAAGGCGAAGAUGGUUAGCUGAUCUGAGAGGAUGAUCAGCCACACUGGGACUGAGACACGGCCCAGACUCCUACGGGAGGCAGCAGUGGGGAAUCUUGGACAAUGGGGAAACCCUGAUCCAGCGACGCCGCGUGGGUGAUGAAGG
This 402-nucleotide ribosomal RNA is filed under the name uncultured bacterium. RNAcentral's name for it is "bacterial SSU rRNA". It matches the Rfam family "Bacterial small subunit ribosomal RNA", at positions 29 to 414 of the family's 1533-position model. The record is from RNAcentral.